This is a long non-coding RNA of Mirounga angustirostris (Northern elephant seal), 946 nucleotides long. RefSeq lists it as uncharacterized. The transcript is spliced from 5 exons. The record is from RefSeq and is a predicted model, not a curated record. Lineage: Eukaryota; Metazoa; Chordata; Mammalia; Carnivora; Phocidae.
CUCACCUUCUCCCCGGGAGCGGCGGCGGGGGCGGGAGCCCAGGGCGCGGGCGCCUGGUCGCGCCGGGCCACGGGUCGGCUCCCGCAGUCCCGGCGGCAGUUGGUCUAGUAGUUUCGGAAGCCCGGGCUCCGGCUCCGAGGAUACAGCCUGAAGGACAAAGCUGCUAAGUUCUAGAAAGAGAUAACUUAAAUGUUUAUGUCUGGCAGGAGAGGAACACUCAGCAGCCUGUGCUUCUCAGCAAGCCUAACUUUCCCUCAGAGGAUCCUUGGCUCAGUAGCUCAUGGACGGAUGGAUGCACGGACGGCAAGAUUGUCAAGUGAUUUUGCCUAGCUUGUGCAAGAUCACACCUGGGGCUGAGAGCAGCUAUAGAUCCAGAAAUUGAGAAGUAAAGCUCUGGAAAGGGUUUCUACCUUGUCCAUGGUUGGAGGAUUAGAUUGGGGUAUUUGCACUUUUUUUUCUGUGCUGCUCUUCAGUUCCCACAGAUAUCCUGGCCUUCCUGCUUGCUGGUCGAAGUACGGAGGUAGAAUGGCUCCCAUGCCCUGAUCUCUGGAACCUGUGAAUAUGUGACAUUAACAUAGCAAAAGGGACUUGCAGAGAGUUCUUAAAAGCAAGAAAAGAUGUGAAAAAGAAGUCAGAGAAAUUUAAAGCACGAGAAGGAUUCAACAUGCUGUGGCUGGUUUAAAGAUGGAGGGACUGAUAUGACAAGGAAUGCAGGGGGUCUUCAGGAGCUGAAAGAGGCUCCUCUCUGACAGGCAGGAAGAAAAUGAGACCUGCCCUUACAACCAACCAUAAGGAACUGAAUUUGGCCAAUAACCUGAAUGAUCGUGGAAGCAGAUUCAUCUCCAGAGAAGAAUACAGCCCUACUGAUACUUUGGGUUUAGCUGAGCCAUGCUACACCACAGCUGUACCACAGAAAUGUGAGAGAAUAAAUGGGUGUUUGAUGUGA